This 404-nucleotide ribosomal RNA is filed under the name Synalpheus bousfieldi. Its description in RNAcentral is "partial 16S ribosomal RNA". Lineage: Eukaryota; Metazoa; Arthropoda; Malacostraca; Decapoda; Alpheidae. The record is from RNAcentral.
CAAAGGUAGCAUAAUCAAUAGUCUUUUAAUUGGAGGCUUGAAUGAAAGGUUUGACGGAGGAGAAGCUGUCUUUUUAUUAGAAUUGAAUUUAACUUUUGUGUAAGAAGGCAUUAAUGAUUUAAAGGGACGAUAAGACCCUAUAAAACUUUAUAUAUUAUAUUUAUUUAAUAAAAUAGUUAAUUAAUUAUUGGUGGUUAAUUAUAUUUUGCUGGGGUGGCAGGAAUAUAAUUCUAACUGUUUUAAAUGUAAAAUAUUUAUUAAUAGAGAGUGGUCCUCUGUUUGAGAGUUGAGAGUAAGUUACUUUAGGGAUAACAGCAUAAUUUCUUUUGAGAGUUCUUAUCGAAGAUGGUAGUUGUGACCUCGAUGUUGAAUUAAAUUUUCCUUUUAAUGUAGGAGUUUUAGGG